AACGAACGCUGGCGGCAUGCCUAACACAUGCAAGUCGAACGAGACCUUCGGGUCUAGUGGCGCACGGGUGCGUAACGCGUGGGAACCUGCCCUUAGGUUCGGAAUAACUCCCCGUAAGGGGUGCUAAUACCGGAUAAUGUCUUCGGACCAAAGAUUUAUCGCCUUUGGAUGGGCCCGCGUUGGAUUAGCUAGUUGGUAGGGUAAAAGCCUGCCAAGGCGUCGAUCCAUAGCUGGUCUGAGAGGAUGAUCAGCCACACUGGGACUGAGACACGGCCCAGACUCCUACGGGGGGCAGCAGUGGAGAAUAUUGGACAAUGGGCGAAAGCCUGAUCCAGCAAUGCCGCGUGAGUGAUGAAGGCCUUAGGGUUGUAAAGCUCUUUUACCCGGGAUGAUAAUGACAGUACCGGGAGAAGAAGCUCCGGCUAACUCCGUG
Molecule: ribosomal RNA, 433 nt
Filed under: uncultured bacterium
Lineage: Bacteria
Description: partial 16S ribosomal RNA
Rfam family: Bacterial small subunit ribosomal RNA
Source: RNAcentral